AACUCAUUAAACGAGGCUCUCCAUAGGCCAUCAUUAGAGCUCCCAUGGACGGCUCGAGGAACCACCACUACUUCAGCAGCUCUCUCGAGAAGUGAUAUCAAGACAACCGAAGCACCAUCCCCAGAAGAGCUUCCAAUAGGACGCAGAGGUGGCUGCUCUGAAGAACAAACCACAGCUGCAAGGCAAGCACUCAGCGCUCGGAGGUCCAUAGCUUGAACACAGACCGUGACUGCCUUGGCAAGAUUAGCAAUCGUCUCUGCUGCUAGAGUAUCCGAAGGCAAGCCGCCGAAGAGAAACCUCAAGUGGCGGAAUAUAGCCAUACAGACAACUCGAGCAAUCUCAGUGCCUGGAACUAGAAGCUGUAUGUACUUCGUAAGCAUUUUCCGACCCUUUGGAAGAGUUGCUAUACGCAGAAACACAACAUCAUCCUUAGCAGUCAGCCCUGACUUCUGACCGGUUUUGCUGAACGGAUCAGCAAGCUGAAGUGCCGUCGCUAGACCUUCAAGGAGGAUCUGGCGUUUUCUCUUCACCUGAGCGCCUCCGUCUUGAGGCCUUGUGGACUGGAGAGUCCUGUCAAUGUCAACUAUGUCGAUAAGAACUCCUAGAGCAUCUUCAAUUGUAACCCUAGCUGCCACAAGUGGUUCCUGCUCCAAAUGUUUCCCUGAGCCCUUUUGAUCAUUAGAACCAGGAGAAGAAGAAGAGUCAACCUCAAGCAAGGCACGUGGCCUGCGAAUAUAGGGAAGCGUGAUCUUCCCAAGAGCAUCUACAUGAACUUGUUGUUGAUGCUGUUCAGAACUAUUAUUACGGGACUUAGGUUGGUGGUGGUGGUCUUUCAACUGAGAAGGGUAGAAGAGAGUGAUUGCUCUACUAGAUCCAGAAGACUUCUUGGCAAGGCGAGCUUGGUGGUAAUAAUCAUUGACAUAAGGAUCGUUGCUGUGUGAAUUAGAGUGCUGCAUCUUGAGUAUACUCUCUAUUUCCUCUGAAGUCAUGUACUUUGAUCUAAACUGCAAUCCACUCUCGCUUUUCUGACUAGCUGCGUCUGAUGCCUGUUGAGAUAUGCCUUUGUUCUUUCGACUCCUAUGAGAAGACUUAUGCUUGUGUUGUUCCCUAACUUCACCACCCCCAAAAGAGACUUUACGUGAUGGUGAUGGAUAAGACCUGUACAGCUGAGACUGUAGCGCUGCAAGCUGAGCAUACGAUUGUCUCUGCUGGAGAGCCAUCAUAUGUUGCGACAUAAGAUCAAUUCGAGGAGGGAAUUGUUGUUGUUGCGCCAGACUAUGUAAUAAACCAGAAUGAUCUCCGUGGAGAAGACCAGGAUCAGUGACCCAAUGAGGUUGCACAACGUUACCAAGGGUAGGACCACACGAGGCAUAUCUAGCCAAAUUACCACCAUAGUGAGGCCCGUGUGAGGGUCCUGAAAGAUGAAAUCUAGAGUUUGACAGCGGGGAAGGUGGGGUGAAAUUCAUCUGAGAACCGCUGGGAAGAGAAGGAGCGCGGUGGAGGCUUCCAGGUGAAGUCUGCUGAGAUCUGCUGCCUGGCGGGGGAAAGGAGGUGAAAGUUGAUUCUGGUACAAUGAUCGGUUCACUAUUGUAGUGUUGCAACGGUGGUGGCUGCUGAGGGUAAGAGGAUGUCCUGUAUAAAGGUUGUGAAUGAGCAGAUGACUGUGGCUGCGAGGACCAUCUGUUAGCCUCUUGAUCUUGCUCGUCCAACCAGUUUGUGAGCUCUGUAUCGUGAGUCCAAUCGGUGGCAGAAGAACCUAAAGAUGAAGUACAUUCAGGUUAAGAAGAACCCUAAAGGUAUACAGUAUACAGUAGUAAGCAAGUUAAGAAUUAAACUCACUCUCUCUUGAAAAGGAACCAGAUCCUCUGUCACCAAUAACUCCAAGGUGUUUGGGUCCUGUGACAUUUCUAUUUAGCUACACAAAGAAAAUAAGUAGAUUUAGAAUCACUAACAAACAAGAGUUCAAAGCUGAAGAACAAGAACAGGUAUAACAUGGCAGUUAAAGAUAUUAAGAUCACUAAAAAAGCAGUUUUUGCAACAAAAAAGAAGUUAAAAAAACCUUUGCAAAAGUCGUGGCAAGAUCAUCCAUGUCAGAUAAUGACCCUAAACCUGCACCCUGCAAUAAUCAACAUGUAUGUAUUAGUAAAACAUCAUCACGUGGUAGCUUUCAGAAGAGAAAACACAUUACCUCUCCUUUAUUAAACAAGUGAUACUCGUCAUCAUCAGGAGAAGUAUGUCCAAGAACAGGAGCGACCACUUCGUCAUCGUCAAUGCCUCCUAAUGACAUUUCGUCAAGGUUUUGCCCAAAAAACUCAUACUGAGAUGCAUCAAAGAGCUUACUAUUUGAAUCUGCAGAUACAAAACACAGCCAGUUUCAGCAGACAAUGCCACAAACACAUGGACUUAAAGCUCUAAGACUUUCAAUCAAAGGGAUAACAACAACAAAAGCAAAACUCAAAAAAAAAAAAAAAAGAGAGAAGCUUUUUAGUAUUCAAAAAGGUUUGAUCAUUCAUGAAAUUGGAGAACAAGAAGAACAACUACACAAAAAAAAAAAAAACAAAACCCAUACAGACAUAAUCUACAGGAAAACACAAGACCAGACAGAAGACAAUUAGCAUAAAUUUCAUCCCUUUAUGUGCUUUUCUCACUCGUAAAACGAACCACAAAGCAACACGGAUCUCAGCUAACAACACAAAGAGAAGAAAGAAACAUCCUUUCGAUGAGAUAAAAAGGGAGUGACCUGAGGAAGAGCGAACAAAGUUGUACAAGUCCCUGGAAUCAGAUCUCUCCAUGAUCGGAGGAUAAAAAGAGCGAAACUUUAGAAAUUAGAGGAUGCGAGAGAAGGAAGAGAAGUCGUAUUCCUUCGCGCUAGGGUUUUCCCAGAUGGGGACGCGGAGAGAGAGAGAAUGAUCAACCCAUCACAGAUUCAGAGUUGAUCUGACCACCCCUUGCAUGCGACGCAGACUCACUAACGGCCGACGGUUUACGACCAAAGUUUAACAAAUAGUUCCUCUGGUCGUCAUUGGUAUGACGGAGGCUCGCACGUAAAAGCUCAGCGGGCAUUUCUCUCUUUAUCGCCAGCUCCAAAACAUCCGCUGCACUCCCUUGGUUCUGCCUACGGAUCGUCUCAUACUUGCUCCUGCAGUAUUUAGUAAGCAGGUUGAAGAACUCAUUAAACGAGGCUCUCCAUAGGCCAUCAUUAGAGCUCCCAUGGACGGCUCGAGGAACCACCACUACUUCAGCAGCUCUCUCGAGAAGUGAUAUCAAGACAACCGAAGCACCAUCCCCAGAAGAGCUUCCAAUAGGACGCAGAGGUGGCUGCUCUGAAGAACAAACCACAGCUGCAAGGCAAGCACUCAGCGCUCGGAGGUCCAUAGCUUGAACACAGACCGUGACUGCCUUGGCAAGAUUAGCAAUCGUCUCUGCUGCUAGAGUAUCCGAAGGCAAGCCGCCGAAGAGAAACCUCAAGUGGCGGAAUAUAGCCAUACAGACAACUCGAGCAAUCUCAGUGCCUGG
RNAcentral lists this long non-coding RNA (3516 nucleotides) under Brassica napus (rape). Its description in RNAcentral is "long non-coding RNA (BNAP_LNC017663)". Lineage: Eukaryota; Viridiplantae; Streptophyta; Magnoliopsida; Brassicales; Brassicaceae. The record is from RNAcentral.